GUAGGUGGCAAGCGUUGUCCGGAAUUAUUGGGCGUAAAGCGCGCGCAGGCGGUUCUUUAAGUCUGAUGUGAAAGCCCACGGCUCAACCGUGGAGGGUCAUUGGAAACUGGAGAACUUGAGUACAGAAGAGGAAAGCGGAAUUCCACGUGUAGCGGUGAAAUGCGUAGAGAUGUGGAGGAACACCAGUGGCGAAGGCGGCUUUCUGGUCUGUAACUGACGCUGAGGCGCGAAAGCGUGGGGAGCAAACAGGAUUAGAUACCCUGGUAGUCCACGCCGAAAACGAUGAGUGCUAAGUGUUAGGGGGUUUCCGCCCCCCUUAGUGCUGCAGCUAACGCAUUAAGCACUCCGCCUGGGAGUACGACCGCAAGGUUG
RNAcentral lists this ribosomal RNA (372 nucleotides) under uncultured organism. Its description in RNAcentral is "partial 16S ribosomal RNA". It matches the Rfam family "Bacterial small subunit ribosomal RNA", at positions 527 to 896 of the family's 1533-position model. The record is from RNAcentral.